Molecule: long non-coding RNA, 663 nt
Organism: Syzygium oleosum
Lineage: Eukaryota; Viridiplantae; Streptophyta; Magnoliopsida; Myrtales; Myrtaceae
Exons: 2
Source: RefSeq, a predicted model, not a curated record
CUCCGGAGCCCUAGAGGAAAUCAAGCCAGAGAAGAGCAAUCUCCGAUUCGAUCCCUCCCGGAGCUCACCGUCCAUGGCGAUCACCUCCAACUUCGAGGAGGAAGAGGAGAAGCAACCUGAGGCCAAGCCCUCGGCCUCCUCCUCUGCCGCGGCGGAGUUCAGCGCGAGGUUCGAUCCGUCCAGCCCGCUGGGGUUCAUCGAGGAGGCCUUCGAGUUCGUGGCCGAGCGGAGCGAUUUCCUCGCGCAUGAGGCGGCGGAGAGGGACGUCGCGGCGGUGUUGAGGGCGGUGAGGAAAAAUCAAUCCGUCGCAAAUUCGCCCUGCUCCGCCGCCGGAUCGUAGGGCCGCUGCGACAUUGCUGGGGGCCGCCGCAUCCAGAGAUGGACUUCUCAAGAGCAAAGAUUGCAUGAGGGGGGAUGUUCGACUGCUUAUUCUCUAGCUUGAUCAUACUAUGAUAAAUCCGGAAAUCAUUGGAUGUUUACUUUGGGCGCGGAUGAGCGAGCUUUUGUUCAAUUGUUUUGCCCUGUCGAGGGCAAGGAGGAGCUCCCCGAGAAAUUACAUGUUCGACUGCUUCUUCUCUAGCUUGAUCAUACAUUUUGGAAAAUGUAGAUGAAUGUACUUUAUUUUCAUAUUAUUAUAAUAUUUUGAUGUUAUUAAGUGCUUAA